UCCUACGGGAGGCAGCAGUGGGGAAUAUUGCACAAUGGGCGCAAGCCUGAUGCAGCAACGCCGCGUGAGGGACGAAGGCCUUCGGGUUGUAAACCUCUUUUAGUAGGGAAGAAGCGACUGGGUUUUCCUGGGAGUGACGGUACCUGCAGAAAAAGCACCGGCUAACUACGUGCCAGCAGCCGCGGUAAUACGUAGGGUGCAAGCGUUGUCCGGAAUUAUUGGGCGUAAAGGGCUCGUAGGCGGUUUGUCGCGUCUGCUGUGAAAACCCGAGGCUCAACCUCGGGCCUGCAGUGGGUACGGGCAGACUAGAGUGCGGUAGGGGAGAUUGGAAUUCCUGGUGUAGCGGUGGAAUGCGCAGAUAUCAGGAGGAACACCAAUGGCGAAGGCAGAUCUCUGGGCCGUAACUGACGCUGAGGAGCGAAAGCAUGGGGAGCGAACAGGAUUAGAUACCCUGGUAGUCCAUGCCGUAAACGUUGGGAACUAGAUGUGGGGACCAUUCCACGGUCUCCGUGUCGCAGCUAACGCAUUAAGUUCCCCGCCUGGGGAGUACGGCCGCAAGGCUAAAACUCAAAGGAAUUGACGGGGGCCCGCACAAGCGGCGGAGCAUGCGGAUUAAUUCGAUGCAACGCGAAGAACCUUACCAAGGCUUGACAUAUACCGGAAACGGCUGGAAACAGUCGCCCCGCAAGGUCGGUAUACAGGUGGUGCAUGGUUGUCGUCAGCUCGUGUCGUGAGAUGUUGGGUUAAGUCCCGCAACGAGCGCAACCCUCGUCCUAUGUUGCCAGCACGUAAUGGUGGGAACUCAUGGGAUACUGCCGGGGUCAACUCGGAGGAAGGUGGGGAUGACGUCAAAUCAUCAUGCCCCUUAUGUCUUGGGCUUCACGCAUGCUACAAUGGCCGGUACAAAGGGUUGCGAUACCGCAAGGUGGAGCGAAUCCCAAAAAGCCGGUCUCAGUUCGGAUUGAGGUCUGCAACUCGACCUCAUGAAGUCGGAGUCGCUAGUAAUCGCAGAUCAGCAACGCUGCGGUGAAUACGUUCCCGGGCCUUGUACACACCGC
This 1058-nucleotide ribosomal RNA is filed under the name uncultured Cryobacterium sp. RNAcentral describes it as "bacterial SSU rRNA". It matches the Rfam family "Bacterial small subunit ribosomal RNA", at positions 337 to 1393 of the family's 1533-position model. Lineage: Bacteria; Bacillati; Actinomycetota; Actinomycetes; Micrococcales; Microbacteriaceae. The record is from RNAcentral.